Molecule: ribosomal RNA, 249 nt
Filed under: uncultured bacterium
Lineage: Bacteria
Description: partial 16S ribosomal RNA
Rfam family: Bacterial small subunit ribosomal RNA
Source: RNAcentral
UACGUAGGGUGCGAGCGUUAAUCGGAAUUACUGGGCGUAAAGCGUGCGCAGGCGGUUUUGUAAGCCAGAUGUGAAAGCCCCGGGCUUAACCUGGGAAUGGCAUUUGGGACUGCAAGGCUUGAGUGCGGCAGAGGAGACUGGAAUUCCUGGUGUAGCAGUGAAAUGCGUAGAUAUCAGGAGGAAUACCGAUGGCGAAGGCAGGUCUCUGGGCUGACACUGACGCUCAUGCACGAAAGCGUGGGGAGCAAA